This 524-nucleotide ribosomal RNA is filed under the name uncultured bacterium. Its description in RNAcentral is "partial 16S ribosomal RNA". It matches the Rfam family "Bacterial small subunit ribosomal RNA", at positions 28 to 523 of the family's 1533-position model. The record is from RNAcentral.
GACGAACGCUGGCGGCGUGCCUAAUACAUGCAAGUCGAGCGCAGGAAAUCGACGGAACCCUUCGGGGGGAAGUCGACGGAAUGAGCGGCGGACGGGUGAGUAACACGUAAAGAACCUGCCCUCAGGUCUGGGAUAACCACGAGAAAUCGGGGCUAAUACCGGAUGGGUCAUCGGACCGCAUGGUCCGAGGAUGAAAGGCGCUUCGGCGUCGCCUGGGGAUGGCUUUGCGGUGCAUUAGCUAGUUGGUGGGGUAAUGGCCCACCAAGGCGACGCUGCAUAGCCGACCUGAGAGGGUGAUCGGCCACACUGGGACUGAGACACGGCCCAGACUCCUACGGGAGGCAGCAGUAGGGAAUCUUCCACAAUGGACGAAAGUCUGAUGGAGCAACGCCGCGUGAACGAUGAAGGCCUUCGGGUCGUAAAGUUCUGUUGUAAGGGGAGAACAAGUGCCGCAGGCAAUGGCGGCACCUUGACGGUACCUUGCGAGAAAACCACGGCUAACUACGUGCCAGCCGCCGCCGUAA